RNAcentral lists this ribosomal RNA (372 nucleotides) under uncultured organism. RNAcentral describes it as "bacterial SSU rRNA". It matches the Rfam family "Bacterial small subunit ribosomal RNA", at positions 526 to 896 of the family's 1533-position model. The record is from RNAcentral.
CAGAGACUGCGAGCGUUAUUCGGAUUCACUGGGCGUAAAGGGUGCGCAGGCGGCCAAGUGUGUUAGGCGUGAAAGCCUGGGGCUUAACCUCAGAAUUGCACCUAAAACUACAUGGCUAGAGCAUUGGAGAGGGUAGCGGAAUUCACGGUGUAGCAGUGAAAUGCGUAGAUAUCGUGAGGAACACCAGAGGCGAAGGCGGCUACCUGGACAAUUGCUGACGCUCAGGCACGAAAGCGGGGGGAGCAAAAGGGAUUAGAUACCCCUGUAGUCCACGCCCUAAACGGUGCACACUAGGUCUUGGCGGAUUCGACCCCACCAGGGCCCAAGCUAACGCGUUAAGUGUGCCGCCUGAGGACUACGGUCGCAAGACUA